UACAGUUGUAAAAGCCUUACUAUUUGCCGUAUUGAACAUUCCAUUCCCAUUCAUUGCAAUUGUUUUCCUAAUUAAUAUAACUGAAAAAAUGUGAUAGUAAAGAGCUGAUUUUUAACUUUUAGUCUUUCAUAAAAAGGACGAAUAAGUCAUUGAUUUGGUGUUAGCAUAUAUAUUUUUUAUACUCAAUGUGAUAAAGAUGAAUUUGUGCAUUUACUUUUAUAAUUUAUAUUUAUUGGUGUUGUUACAAUUGCUCCUUUUUAUUGCCCUAUCAUAUUAUAUAUAUAUUUUUUUGUCAUCAAAACCGGCCCUUUAGAUCUAUGUCAGAAUAAGUGAUGAUUGUAAACCAUUGAUAUAUUGUUGCUUGUUUUAGUCUCCAGUAACUGAAUUUUUACACAGUUCAUACAUGGAUUCAUAAAUUUUUUGGAUAAUCAAUUAUUGUGGAUUGUUAAGGAAACAUUAUAUUUUCCUGGAUAUUUUAUUUUUGUUGAACAGUUAAAUUCCUUGUUUCCCUAUAACCUGGAAAUCAAUGAAAACAUUGGUAUCCAAGAAGAAUAUUGAAUUCACAGUAUGAUUUUUUUUAAGAGCAUUUAAGAAGAAUACUGUAUGAUACAUGUUAUAUUGUUGCUUUAGCUAUAGUGUAAUUCAAUUUCAUUUAAUGCGGAAUAUAAGACUUAUCAUCCCACUGUUAGGCAUGCUUUUGGUGACUUUAAAUUAGUCAAGUGGUUAGAAUAUUUUUUGGUUGGUUAAAUUGUUUCUGAAGAAGAAAUGAUAUAAUGUACAUUGGUAAUGCAAUAUUCCAGUGCUAUUUGUCUUAUAAGAGGUCUUUAAAUUUUGAAAACAGACAUAAUCGAAAUUGACUUACUUAUUAAGAAGGUAAUUAUUUCUCAUAUCAAGAUAUUCACCAACCCUACUGUGAUAUUGUUAACUGUAUAUAACUUCUGUGGUCAAUGUGUUCACUUAGGCCCACAGUUUAUGCAAUCUACAGUAAGCUACACUUAACAGCAUCCAACAGAAGGAAUAUCAUGAUCAUCAAUUUGUCUUUUUUUCUCCUGAUCUUAGGGUUUGAUUAUCUUAGUGGGCUUUAAACAUAUAGCUGCAACUGCUUCCUAGAAUAGUAAUUCAUAUUAGUUUAACCUCAAACAAGCUUAUAUGUGAAACUUGCUUGUAAAUCAAAUGAUUUUUUUUCAAGUGAAUUUUGAAAAUACAGUUAUUC
Molecule: long non-coding RNA, 1213 nt
Filed under: Mytilus galloprovincialis (Mediterranean mussel)
Lineage: Eukaryota; Metazoa; Mollusca; Bivalvia; Mytilida; Mytilidae
Source: RNAcentral